UCAACUUACCCCGAAUGCCAAAUCUUCUAAUCCCUUUGGUCGGCGAGACUUUCAAGAAGACAUGAUCUCCAAUCUGGAACUCCAAAUCUCGUCGACGCCUGUCGGCAUAGCUCCUCUGUCUACUCUGAGCCGUUAACAAACGCUCCUGAGCAAUGCGAACUUUAUCUUUUACUUCCUGAAGCACAUCAGGGCCUAAAGCUAAUCUCUCGCCGACUUCACUCCAAUGAAGUGGCGAUCUACACUUCCGUCAAUAAAGUGUUUCGAAAGUUGCCAUCUUGAUGCUUGCUUGAUAACUAUUGUUAUAAGCAAACUCUGUGUCAAGCCCCGGAACCCCGCAUAGGCCCUGCCGGGUGCGUGCCCAGACCCGCCAUAUGCCUGCACAUAUAAGGCGUCUACAACAAAGUGAUAUGAAAGAUAAAAUAAACAAUAACUAACGAUAUCAGAGCAAGUAUGCAGCUAAGUUCUAUCAACAAGCGGAAAUAAAAGGAAAGAAAAAGAGACUAAACCACUAGAACAUAAUAAAACUAAUACAUCAUAAGUCUCAAGAUACAACAGUAGGGUGGUCUCUAUAAUAAGGUACAAAACUCUCACAACCUCUCCAAAGAAAAAACAAAAGAGAGGUGGACCACCUAUCGCCAAAUCUCUCGCUAGCUAGCUCAAAGCGAAACCUUUCCCGUGAUCCCGAGCCCCUCCCGAAGUGGAAGGCACUGAAAGAAAACAUAAAAUAGGGGGUAUGAGAACUAUAAUUUAUAGUUCCCAGUGGGCAAUUACUGACCUACACCAACUGCAACACUAGGCCCAAAAGAGAGCAGAUAAGGAUAACAUAAAUUAACUGCGGUAAAUAAAGCAUAAUAAUAAAAUGCUACUCUAUUAUGACACAAGUAUAUAGAAUGUCAACAUGGAGUACAUCUACUCUACAUGAUCCAGUAUGUCAAUACUUAAACAAGUAUGCUAUGAUGCAACAAGUAAUACUAUAAAGUAUGAUAAAAGUCCCAAAGCCAACUACAUAUCUAGUAUGUAGUAUCAUGGCAACCAAGUAUACUACAAUGCAAUAAAUGAUACCGUCAAGUAUACUAUAUAACUCAAUGCCCAACCCUAUGCCAUAGCAUGUCAAGGAAUCCAACUACCAUAACCUGUCUAGUAGUGUUUAUCAACCUAUUAAUUAAUAUUCAGGUUCAAUCUCAUUUAGGACCUACACAGGUGAGGUCUGGCUUGUGCC
Molecule: long non-coding RNA, 1219 nt
Filed under: Ananas comosus (pineapple)
Lineage: Eukaryota; Viridiplantae; Streptophyta; Magnoliopsida; Poales; Bromeliaceae
Description: long non-coding RNA (ACOM_LNC015247)
Source: RNAcentral